UACGAAGGGGGCUAGCGUUGCUCGGAAUCACUGGGCGUAAAGGGUGCGUAGGCGGGUCUUUAAGUCAGGGGUGAAAUCCUGGAGCUCAACUCCAGAACUGCCUUUGAUACUGAGGAUCUUGAGUACGGGAGAGGUGAGUGGAACUGCGAGUGUAGAGGUGAAAUUCGUAGAUAUUCGCAAGAACACCAGUGGCGAAGGCGGGUCUCUGGGCCGAUACUGACGCUG
Molecule: ribosomal RNA, 225 nt
Filed under: uncultured bacterium
Lineage: Bacteria
Description: partial 16S ribosomal RNA
Rfam family: Bacterial small subunit ribosomal RNA
Source: RNAcentral